This 433-nucleotide ribosomal RNA is filed under the name uncultured bacterium. Its description in RNAcentral is "partial 16S ribosomal RNA". It matches the Rfam family "Bacterial small subunit ribosomal RNA", at positions 29 to 507 of the family's 1533-position model. The record is from RNAcentral.
AACGAACGCUGGCGGCAUGCCUAACACAUGCAAGUCGAACGAGACCUUCGGGUCUAGUGGCGCACGGGUGCGUAACGCGUGGGAACCUGCCCUUAGGUUCGGAAUAACUCCCCGAAAGGGGUGCUAAUACCGGAUAAUGUCUUCGGACCAAAGAUUUAUCGCCUUUGGAUGGGCCCGCGUUGGAUUAGCUAGUUGGUAGGGUAAAAGCCUACCAAGGCGACGAUCCCUAGCUGGUCUGAGAGGAUGAUCAGCCACACUGGGACUGAGACACGGCCCAGACUCCUACGGGAGGCAGCAGUGGGGAAUAUUGGACAAUGGGCGAAAGCCUGAUCCAGCAAUGCCGCGUGAGUGAUGAAGGCCUUAGGGUUGUAAAGCUCUUUUACCCGGGAUGAUAAUGACAGUACCGGGAGAAUAAGCACCGGCUAACUCCGUG